GAUGAACGCUAGCUACAGGCUUAACACAUGCAAGUCGAGGGGAAACGAUAUUGGAAGCUUGCUUCCGAUAGGCGUCGACCGGCGCACGGGUGAGUAACGCGUAUCCAACCUGCCCGUCACUUGGGAAUAACCUUGCGAAAGUAAGACUAAUGCCCAAUGACAUUUAUAGAAGGCAUCUGAAAUGAAUUAAAGAUUUAUCGGUGAUGGAUGGGGAUGCGUCUGAUUAGCUUGUUGGCGGGGUAACGGCCCACCAAGGCGACGAUCAGUAGGGGUUCUGAGAGGAAGGUCCCCCACAUUGGAACUGAGACACGGUCCUAAACUCCUACGGGAGGCAGCAGUGAGGAAUAUUGGUCAAUGGGCGAGAGCCUGAACCAGCCAAGUAGCGUGUGGGACGAAUGCCCUAUGGGUUGUAAACCACUUUUGCAGGAGGGUAAAAUGCUUCACGUGUGGAGUAUUGCAAGUAUCCUGCGAAUAAGGACCGGCUAAUUCCGUGCCAGCAGCCG
This 503-nucleotide ribosomal RNA is filed under the name uncultured bacterium. RNAcentral describes it as "bacterial SSU rRNA". It matches the Rfam family "Bacterial small subunit ribosomal RNA", at positions 28 to 517 of the family's 1533-position model. The record is from RNAcentral.